UCUUAUAAAUUUUAAAUGUAGAAUCUUUUCAUGUAUAAUAUUCAUGUAUAAUAUUCAUGCAUAAUUUUUUUUUUUAAAUUUUAGAUCGCAUAGAUUUGGAAAUUGAAUUACAAACAGCCAUAACUACCUUGUUAGGUGUUUCUGUUCCUGAAAAAGAUAGACCUAGAAGUCUAGUACGUACUGCAAUGAGAACUUUGUGUUGUACAAGUGAACCACAGGAUUCGUCGGGUAGUUAUUAUAAUUAUACAAAACAUAACCUAACUUAAAAUAACAUAAAAAUAAAGAUUAUAAAACCAUAUUGUGUAAAAAAAAAUGUAUCGUUGAUUUACGCAAAUGUAACAGUAAUAUAUCGUUGCUCAGCGACAAUGCUGAACAUUACGCUUACGUUAUAUUUAUUAUUUGUAAAAAGAAAAAGAAAUUAUUCAAUGACAUGUUUGAAAAAAACUUUGCUAUAAUUUUAAAACAUAUUGCUUGGGAAUUAAAAGUAGUUAGUAUUUCAAUGCAUAUACUUGUUCAAUUAAUACAAAGUAUUGGAAAAUUACUUACUACUAGUUCGUCAUAGGAACAUUUGAACAAAAACUUAAUUGUACUACGUUAAUAACUCGAGUAAAUAUAUUAUUUUUGUAUACAAUUUUUGUAAUCAACACGGUUUAUUAUUAAAUUGUACAGAUAUAUUUGUGGAUGUGAAAAUGCAAGAGAGAAGAAAGCUAUUCCGUGAUGCUACAAAACUAUUUAUCAGUUCUGCACUAAGACCAGGCCACGAAGACUUCGGAAAUUAUAACCUGAUGUGUCGGCUAAAAGGUGUAUACAGAGGUAUAAUAGAUUAUGACAAUGAUUAUAGCAUAAUACAAGCUGAAGUUUUUAGUGACCAUUGUCGUCUAACUCGUGAUGACGAAACAUCAAUCACUGUUAGUUGCAUUGGGGAUGACAUUGGAGGUGAAUUUUGGGGUCGACACGGAGGAGGAUACUUGGAGUGAUAUUGGAGAUGACUGAUUAGAAGAACAUCAUUAAUAUAAUAAAAAUCGUUCACUUGCUUCUCAGUUAUUAUAAUUGAGAUCAUUUAUCUUGAACAUUAACUCAUUACAAAUUAUACAGUACUAUUUUUAUUAUAUUUAAAUAAUUAUUCCAAAUCACAUUUACAUCCACAUUAUCAAAUUUAAUGUAUCUUUAAAUAAAUUCUUUUACUUAAGAUUAUAAA
This is a long non-coding RNA of Adelges cooleyi (spruce gall adelgid), 1198 nucleotides long. RefSeq lists it as uncharacterized. The transcript is spliced from 4 exons. The record is from RefSeq and is a predicted model, not a curated record. NCBI's taxonomy places the organism in Eukaryota, Metazoa, Arthropoda, Insecta, Hemiptera, Adelgidae.